GAUGAACGCUGGCGGCGUGCCUAACACAUGCAAGUCGAGCGCGAUUAAGUGGAGUGAGAACUUCGGUUCAAGUGAAACUUAUGAAAGCGGCGGACGGGUGAGUAACGCGUGGGUAACCUGCCCCAUACAAAGGGAUAGCCACUGGAAACGGUGAUUAAUACCUUAUAAGUCGGUAGUCUCGCAUGAGACAGCCGACAAAGAUUUAUCGGUAUGGGAUGGACCCGCGUCUGAUUAGCUAGUUGGUGAGGUAACGGCUCACCAAGGCGACGAUCAGUAGCCGACCUGAGAGGGUGAUCGGCCACACUGGAACUGAGACACGGUCCAGACUCCUACGGGAGGCAGCAGUGGGGAAUAUUGCACAAUGGGCGCAAGCCUGAUGCAGCAACGCCGCGUGAGUGAUGAAGGCUUUCGGGUCGUAAAACUCUGUCCUAUGGGAAGAAAAAAUAGACGGUACCAUAGGAGGAAGCCCGGCUAACUACGUGCCAGCAGCCGACGG
RNAcentral lists this ribosomal RNA (496 nucleotides) under uncultured bacterium. RNAcentral's name for it is "bacterial SSU rRNA". It matches the Rfam family "Bacterial small subunit ribosomal RNA", at positions 28 to 520 of the family's 1533-position model. The record is from RNAcentral.